UGGGCCCUAAAUACCAUGCAAGUCGAACGAACUCUGGUAUUGAUUGGUGCUUGCAUCAUGAUUUACAUUUGAGUGAGUGGCGAACUGGUGAGUAACACGUGGGAAACCUGCCCAGAAGCGGGGGAUAACACCUGGAAACAGAUGCUAAUACCGCAUAACAACUUGGACCGCAUGGUCCGAGCUUGAAAGAUGGCUUCGGCUAUCACUUUUGGAUGGUCCCGCGGCGUAUUAGCUAGAUGGUGGGGUAACGGCUCACCAUGGCAAUGAUACGUAGCCGACCUGAGAGGGUAAUCGGCCACAUUGGGACUGAGACACGGCCCAAACUCCUACGGGAGGCAGCAGUAGGGAAUCUUCCACAAUGGACGAAAGUCUGAUGGAGCAACGCCGCGUGAGUGAAGAAGGGUUUCGGCUCGUAAAACUCUGUUGUUAAAGAAGAACAUAUCUGAGAGUAACUGUUCAGGUAUUGACGGUAUUUAACCAGAAAGCCACGGCUAACUACGUGCCAGCAGCCGCGGUAAUACGUAGGUGGCAAGCGUUGUCCGGAUUUAUUGGGCGUAAAGCGAGCGCAGGCGGUUUUUUAAGUCUGAUGUGAAAGCCUUCGGCUCAACCGAAGAAGUGCAUCGGAAACUGGGAAACUUGAGUGCAGAAGAGGACAGUGGAACUCCAUGUGUAGCGGUGAAAUGCGUAGAUAUAUGGAAGAACACCAGUGGCGAAGGCGGCUGUCUGGUCUGUAACUGACGCUGAGGCUCGAAAGUAUGGGUAGCAAACAGGAUUAGAUACCCUGGUAGUCCAUACCGUAAACGAUGAAUGCUAAGUGUUGGAGGGUUUCCGCCCUUCAGUGCUGCAGCUAACGCAUUAAGCAUUCCGCCUGGGGAGUACGGCCGCAAGGCUGAAACUCAAAGGAAUUGACGGGGGCCCGCACAAGCGGUGGAGCAUGUGGUUUAAUUCGAAGCUACGCGAAGAACCUUACCAGGUCUUGACAUACUAUGCAAAUCUAAGAGAUUAGACGUUCCCUUCGGGGACAUGGAUACAGGUGGUGCAUGGUUGUCGUCAGCUCGUGUCGUGAGAUGUUGGGUUAAGUCCCGCAACGAGCGCAACCCUUAUUAUCAGUUGCCAGCAUUAAGUUGGGCACUCUGGUGAGACUGCCGGUGACAAACCGGAGGAAGGUGGGGAUGACGUCAAAUCAUCAUGCCCCUUAUGACCUGGGCUACACACGUGCUACAAUGGAUGGUACAACGAGUUGCGAACUCGCGAGAGUAAGCUAAUCUCUUAAAGCCAUUCUCAGUUCGGAUUGUAGGCUGCAACUCGCCUACAUGAAGUCGGAAUCGCUAGUAAUCGCGGAUCAGCAUGCCGCGGUGAAUACGUUCCCGGGCCUUGUACACACCGCCCGUCACACCAUGAGAGUUUGUAACACCCAAAGUCGGUGGGGUAACCUUUUAGGAACCACCCCGCUUAAACGGGGGGCCC
RNAcentral lists this ribosomal RNA (1467 nucleotides) under Lactiplantibacillus plantarum. Its description in RNAcentral is "bacterial SSU rRNA". It matches the Rfam family "Bacterial small subunit ribosomal RNA". Lineage: Bacteria; Bacillati; Bacillota; Bacilli; Lactobacillales; Lactobacillaceae. The record is from RNAcentral.